UUAAAGAGCUUGCGAGCCUUGGUAGUUUUUUCACUCCUAGUUUUAGCAGUUAUAAUUAUAGCAACACGAGAUCAGGUAUAACAGUGCAAAUUGUAGCACGCUAAAUAACUAAAUUCAGACAUUUUAUUUUGCAAAAACCCGCAAAAAUAGAAACAGUGAUCUUUUAGACGAAUAACACGGCAAAAAAAAGUAUUUAUGAAUAAAAUAUAAAUAAUGUUCAAAAUACCAUAAGAUUUGGAGCAGAUGAUAUUACUCGCAACCCUCGCAAUGUUUGACGGGCAGAUAUAACAUUGCAAAUUAUAGCUUACUAAACGCCUAAAUUUUGAGAUUUUAUUUUGCAAAAAUCCAAAAAAGUUGGAAAAGUAAUCAUUUCGACAAAUAACACAGCAAAAUAAUAAUUUGUGAAUAAAUAUUAAAUAUUUUUUUAAAUAUCUUAAGAUUUUGAGCACAAGAUACCACUUGCAACCCUCGCAAUGUUUGACGGGCAGUUAUAAUUAUAGCACCCCAAAAAUCCACAUAAAAUCAAAUAGUGAUAUUUUCGACAAAUACAACCGCAAAAAAAUGCUGAAUAGCAAUCAAAGAUUAUUAAAAUACCGUAAGAUUUCAAGCAAAUGAUAUCAUUCGCAACCCUCGCAAUAUUUGACGGGCCGUUAGUUUUAGCAGUUAUAAUUAUAGCACCCCUAGACUAGGUAUAACAAUGCGAAUUGUAGCAUACUAAACACCUGAAUUUCGACAUUAUAUUUUGAAAAAAUUCACUAACAUUGAUAAAGUGAUCUAUUCGACAAAUAACAACACAAAAAAGCAAAUAAUGAACAAAAAAUAAAGAUUAUUUAAAAUACCAUAAAAUUUCGAGCAAAUCAUACUACUCGCAACCCUCGGAAUGUGUGACGGGUAGUUUAAGCAGUAAUAAUUACAGCAACGCGAGAGCAUGUAUAAACGUGCGAUGAAACGUAUAAACGUAUAAAUAACGUAUAAACGUAUAAACAUAUAAACGUAUAGACAUAUAAACGUACGAGAAACGUGGUUGUAGCAGACCAAACACCUGAAUUUUGACCUUUUAUUUCGAAAAAUAUCCACAAAAUUUGAAAUAGUAAUCUUAUCGACAAAACAGCAACAAAAUCAAUGAAAAAAACAAAGAUUUUUUAAAUUAUCAGAAGAUUUCGAUCAGAUGAUACUUUUCGCAACCCCCGCAAUGUUUUACAGGAAGCAUCAUUUUCAAGUAUGCAUGUCGCAUGCGACAUUUUGUCGUGCGGGUCGAUUUCCCAAACGGCAUUAUCGCGCGAUUUUUAUGUGUAUCUAUCAUUUUUCUCAUUCUAACAUUCAGAAAUUUUUUCGUUCUGCCUCGCUCUUCUGGGUGUUGGUCUGGUUUUGCUCGCAACUUGGCUGUGUCACACCAAUCAUCCUCAUGUUUCAUAUGGCUCUUCUGUUUCCAUCGUUAGAGAGAAACUCUUGCGUCUCGCUUUUCUGGGACUUGUCCAAUUUCGCUUGCUACACCAAUCGUUCACGCAAGCGUUCUCCUCUCGUCCGCUCUUUGUAUCAUUGUACAGGUACUCCCCGAUAUACGCUAUCAAUGCGGACCGGAGGCAAUAACGUAUCUCGAAGAUUAGCGAAAGUCGAAUUUCGAGGAUUUCAGUCAAAUUAUAGCUAAUUUUCGUAAAAUGGUAAUUUUGCAUGAAGUGGUAGGUUUCAGCCACUAAAUUAGUUAUUUGAUCUAAUUUAUACUGAAUUUUUCAAUUCUAUACCUUUUGAAAUAGUUUUUAAUAUUCAACCAAAAGGGAAUUUAUUUUGCAUUUGAUAUUCGAUGUCUGAAAUUAGUACAAUUUACUCAAAGAACCGUCAAAUUAAAAAAAGCGUAUAACAAAAUCGCGUAUUUCGAGUAUGGCGUAUAUCGAGGAAUACCUGUAUAGCCACACGAGGAAGGCGCUGCUUCGCGUUCUCAUGAAAAUGUGGUAGUGUGAAAUCAAGUUUGCAUGCAGAAGGACGCGUCGAUGCGUACUCGUUUUUUCUCUAGUGAAACCACUACGAAAAAACUAUUUGGCAAGUACAGCUUUUAAAAAAGGGUUACAUCAAUCUUUAUCAAAAUAAAUGAUAUGAAUAAUUGUGAUAUCAAAUCAAUUUCGUUUUCUAUAGAAAUCGUAACACACGCACGAACGGGAGUGAGCACGGACCACGAUAGAAACAAUAUUCAAUUGGUUGGAGUGCCGAAAACAACAGAACAGGAGAGGAAAGAAGGCAGGAACGAUCAUUCAACGCGCUAGAGCCGGACCAAGGAGAAGUGGCAGGAAGGCAGGAACGAUCCUCCAACGUGCUAGCGCCUGGUAGAAGAGAAGCGGCAGGAAGGUUCGGACCGGAACGGCCAACACUAGUAGGGACGAUCAUCCAGUACGCUAGUGCAGCAUACGGGAGCAGCGAGGGGGAGGCAAGCAGGAAGAAUUUUUAACGUGUGCAAACCAUUCGACGCAGACAACGCUGGAUGAAAGGAGAAACGAGGAGAGAAGACAGGCAAGACAGGUACGUGUAUAUCCCGCACCGGUUUUCGGCAGUAUGAAUUGUGUAAGUAUUGAAAAGUGUAUGUGCGAGUAAAGAGAUAAAAAUAAAGAGCGAAUGUGUGGAAUGGAAAAUGAGAGAGAGUCUGAGUUUGUUUUGGGAGAAAGGAGAGAAUAAAGAAAUUAUACAAUAAUGUAGCAUGCAGAAACUACAUGUAUGAUACACGCUGUCGCACGGUUGCAGAAAUGUGCUCUUUAGUGCUGCUAAUGAGCACGAUUUGAGAACGUUUUGAGCCCGUUUUUUCUCAUACAAAAUUUUAAAAUGUCACGCGAUAAUGUCGGUUGGGUAGAGAACACUUUUUCAAUACAAAAAACCGGCUGCAACGUGACAAUGUCGGUUGGGUAAGCAUGCAUGUCGCGCAACAUUUUGUCAUUCGGGUAGAGAGAGACGUACGAUUAUAUUGCUCCAGGCUUUCUACUUUUGUCCCAGAGUCCCAGAGUUGUGGGUCGUUAGGCCAGAGGAGUCACACUAUUAGGGGGUGACAAACUGCUACCGAGCUAGCACAAAUAUUAUCUUUUCGUCAGUGACAAUAAAAGUGAAGAAUCUUGCUUUUAAUUCAGGACAGAACAUCAGAUGAUAACUACCUCUUCAAUGGAUUCUGAUGUACUUCAAUGCAAAUGUGUGCAUAAAGCAAA
Molecule: long non-coding RNA, 3182 nt
Organism: Anopheles merus
Lineage: Eukaryota; Metazoa; Arthropoda; Insecta; Diptera; Culicidae
Exons: 3
Source: RefSeq, a predicted model, not a curated record